Tupaia belangeri chinensis (Chinese tree shrew) is the source of this 253-nucleotide long non-coding RNA. RefSeq lists it as uncharacterized. The transcript has 3 exons. The record is from RefSeq and is a predicted model, not a curated record. NCBI's taxonomy places the organism in Eukaryota, Metazoa, Chordata, Mammalia, Scandentia, Tupaiidae.
UGGUGUGACUCCACUAUGGGGAGUGCUUUUUCACACUCCCUUUCUAUGUCUCUGCCCCCCCGCUCAGAAGGACGUUCAGCUGAGCAGGUCCCAGCAAGUGGGGCCUGAACACGGGGCAAGUCAGGCGAGUGGACCCUCCUUGAAGCUGGCCAGAGAUGGCUAAGGAUAGAUUUUAAACCAGAAUUAGCAACAUCUAAUGUGAAUCUUCUCAUCUAGAGGAAGUUUACCCUUAGCCAAGGUAAGCCCAGUUCCA